Molecule: long non-coding RNA, 1348 nt
Filed under: Homo sapiens (human)
Lineage: Eukaryota; Metazoa; Chordata; Mammalia; Primates; Hominidae
Description: HSALNT0164854
Source: RNAcentral
CUUCAAAAUCUAUGGUGCUGAUGACCGCCUGUGAGAGGUGAUAUCCUGUGAGAGGCUGGGAAGGGGAGUGUCCGUUUGAGCUGGAAGGCUGCCUGGAGGAGGUGUGGCUUGAACUGGGCUUGAGCAGUGGGAAGGAUUUGGAGAGCGGAGGAAUGAAGGAGAGCAGAGAGGAGAGGCUUGGAGAUCAUUCUCCUCUGGGUCUCUGCUCACAGACCUUCCAUCAAGAAAUUCACUACAGUGUGUUGGAACAGUCUAUGUACCUGACUACCACACAAGGGCUGUUGUAAGGAUCAAAUGGCAUCAUGAAUGGAGGGUACCAAGUCCUGCACCCAGCCUGCAGUGACUAGCACCUGCUCCCUGCUGAACAUGGUGGCUGGGGCUGGACAUGGUCCUUGGGGGUGUGAUCUGAGCAGCCUGCAGCAUUCUGGGCCUUUCAACUGCCGCAUCCUGGUACCAGUCUCAUGCUUCCUGGUACCCUACAGAUGGCUGUCUCCUGGUGGAGUCACCAGGUUGGAGGGGUCCUCAGAAUGCCAACAGAACAGAGCAGCCCUGAGCUCCGGCACCUGUCACUGUGGCUUGACUGGAUACAUAUCUCCAGACCAAGGCAAGCAUCUCUGGCAGAACCCACUGUGGAGAUCCUAAAUUGGCACCCCGUAGAGUGAGCUGUCUGAUUCUACAAAGGCAGUAUUUCUAGGUUUCAAAGGAACUGAAUAAUUUAAAAUGCACAAGACAAAAAGUGGGAUUAAGGUGAUCUGAUAGGCUCUCCAGGCUGGGGUAUCAAUUAUACUCUCAACUCGUAAAGCCUUAUUUGUGAGAUUCAGAAUUUAUUAUCUGUCUGAAGCACUAAUUACCAGGUUUCUCUCUUUUAAUUUUACAGGUCUCUUCUCAGAUUUAUUUUUCUCUUUUUUCCCUCCCACUGGGGACAAAUAGCUUCCAUUCCUGAAGGGAAGUUGCCUGCUUGGAGAUGGACAGAGGAAGAUAUUUGGGUUCAGCUUAUCCCCUCUGGGCACUUUGGGGGAAGCAGCAUGGGUUGGGGCAGGAGAACUCUAAUGUGUAUGUGUUAAUAAACUUACUGUUUUCUAAAAUUUUGUCAAAGGUAUGCAUGUUUAUAGUUUAAAGAGGUGAAGAGUUCCAUGUGGCCUACUGUAUUUUUCCUUCCUUGUAUAACUUUUAUUUUCCUAGGAGCUAAUAACUAUCUUGUUCUUUUGUUUGCUUGCCUUUCUCUGUACUUAUCACUAAUUCAACUCCAGAGUCUUUACUGAUUGCCUAUUCCAAUAUUUUCACCCACAUCAGGUGCUCUAUCAAUUUCAUUGUCCUGAAGAGUUUCCCUGACAGCCUUCUGACCUGG